GACGAACGCUGGCGGCGUGCUUAACACAUGCAAGUCGAACGGAAAGGCCCUGCUUUUGUGGGUUGCUCGAGUGGCGAACGGGUGAGUAACACGUGAGUAACCUGCCCUUGACUUUGGGAUAACUUCAGGAAACUGGGGCUAAUACCGGAUAUGAGCUCCUGCUGCAUGGUGUGCGUUGGAGAGUUUCGGCGGUUCGGGAUGGACUCGCGGCUUAUCAGCUUGAUGGUGGGGUAGUGGCUUACCAAGGCUUUGACGGGUAGCCGGCCUGAGAGGGUGACCGGCCACAUUGGGACUGAGAUACGGCCCAGACGCCUACGGGAGGCAGCAGGGGGGAAUAUGGCACAAUGGGCGGAAGCCUGAUGCAGCAACGCCGCGUGCGGGAUGACGGCCUUCGGGUGGUAAACCGCUUUCGCCUGUGACGAAGCGUGAGUGACGGUAAUGGGUAAAGAAGCACCGGCUAACUACGUG
This 468-nucleotide ribosomal RNA is filed under the name uncultured bacterium. RNAcentral's name for it is "partial 16S ribosomal RNA". It matches the Rfam family "Bacterial small subunit ribosomal RNA", at positions 28 to 507 of the family's 1533-position model. The record is from RNAcentral.